This 843-nucleotide ribosomal RNA is filed under the name bacterium enrichment culture clone aHCH4_G1. RNAcentral describes it as "bacterial SSU rRNA". It matches the Rfam family "Bacterial small subunit ribosomal RNA", at positions 41 to 905 of the family's 1533-position model. The record is from RNAcentral.
GGCGUGCUUUAACAUGCAAGUCGAACGGAGCGUAGCAAUACGCUUAGUGGCGGACGGGUGAGUAACGCGUGAGCAAUCUGCCUUGUACAACGGGAUAACACAGAGAAAUUUGUGCUAAUACGGUAUAUGACCACAGUGGGGCAUCCCACAGGGGUAAAAGAAUUUCGGUACAAGAGGAGCUCGCGUCCCAUUAGCUAGUUGGAGGGGUAACGGCCCACCAAGGCGACGAUGGGUAGCCGAUCUGAGAGGAUGAACGGCCACACUGGAACUGAGAUACGGUCCAGACUCCUACGGGAGGCAGCAGUGGGGAAUAUUGGGCAAUGGAGGCAACUCUGACCCAGCAACGCCGCGUGAAUGAAGAAGGUCUUCGGAUUGUAAAGUCCUUUAAUUGGUGACGAACAAAUGACGGUAGCCAAAGAAUAAGCCACGACUAACUACGUGCCAGCAGUCGCGGUAAUACGUAGGUGGCAAGCGUUGUCCGGAAUGACUGGGCGUAAAGGGAGCGUAGGCGGCGAAACAAGUUAGGAGUGAAAUCCCGAGGCUUAACCUCGGAACUGCUUUUAAAACUGUUUUGCUUGAGUGAUGGAGAGGAAAGUGGAAUUCCUAGUGUAGCGGUGGAAUGCGUAGAUAUUAGGAGGAACACCAGAGGCGAAGGCGACUUUUCUGGACAUUAACUGACGCUGAGGCUCGAAAGCGUGGGGAGCAAACAGGAUUAGAUACCCUGGUAGUCCACGCUGUAAACGAUGGAUACUAGAUGCGGGAGGUACGACUCCUUCCGUGUCGCAGUUAACACAAUAAGUAUCCCGCCUGGGGGAGUACGGCCGCCAAGGUUGAAAACUCAAA